RNAcentral lists this ribosomal RNA (966 nucleotides) under Crocidura grassei. Its description in RNAcentral is "partial 16S ribosomal RNA". It matches the Rfam family "Bacterial large subunit ribosomal RNA", at positions 961 to 2578 of the family's 2925-position model. Lineage: Eukaryota; Metazoa; Chordata; Mammalia; Eulipotyphla; Soricidae. The record is from RNAcentral.
AAAUUCUAAUGUAAACUUAAAUGUUAAUCUGCAGAGGUACAGCUCUACAGAAUAAGAUUACAACCUUGAUUAGAGAGUAAGUAAUAUCGCAACCAUAGUUGGCCUAAAAGCAGCCACCAAUUAAGAAAGCGUUCAAGCUCAACAAUUAUACCCAAACUUAAUUCCAAAAGUUAAUACCAACUCCUAAUCUGACCACUGGAUUAUUCUACCUUUACGUAGAAGAGAUACUGUUAAUAUGAGUAACAAGAUUUUAUAUCUCCAAACACACAUGUAUAUCAGCCCGUAUCCCAACUGAUAGUUAACAAUUAGAUAAACCUAUAUAUUUAAUUAAUAAUUUAUCACUACAUUGUUAAUCCGACACUGGAGUGUACUUAAGGAAAGAUUAAAAAAAGUAAAAGGAACUCGGCAAACAUAAACCCCGCCUGUUUACCAAAAACAUCACCUCUAGCAUAACCAGUAUUAGAGGCACUGCCUGCCCAGUGACAUUAGUUAAACGGCCGCGGUAUCCUGACCGUGCAAAGGUAGCAUAAUCAUUUGUUCCUUAAUUAGGGACUUGUAUGAAUGGCCCCACGAGGGUUUAACUGUCUCUUACUUUCAAUCAGUGAAAUUGACCUUCCCGUGAAGAGGCGGGAAUGCAAAAAUAAGACGAGAAGACCCUAUGGAGCUUAAAUCUACAUGUUCAAUAAAAUUUAAAUUCCACCCAACAGGAAAUAACUACAAUUUGACUGAACAACAGAUUUUGGUUGGGGUGACCUCGGAGUAUAGUUCAACCUCCGAGUGAUUUUAACCAAGACUUACCCGUCAAGGUUGCAUAACUUAUUGAUCCAAUAAUAUUGAUCAACGAAACAAGUUACCCUAGGGAUAACAGCGCAAUCCUAUUUAAGAGUUCAUAUCGACAAUAGGGUUUACGACCUCGAUGUUGGAUCAGGACACCCAAAUGGUGCAGCAGCUAUUAAAGGUUCGUUU